CCUACGGGAGGCUGCAGUGGGGAAUAUUGGACAAUGGGCGAAAGCCUGAUCCAGCCAUGCCGCGUGUGUGAAGAAGGCCUUCGGGUUGUAAAGCACUUUCAGUGGGGAAGAAAGCCUUGGGGCUAAUACCCUCGAGGAAGGACAUCACCCACAGAAGAAGCACCGGCUAACUCCGUGCCAGCAGCCGCGGUAAUACGGAGGGUGCGAGCGUUAAUCGGAAUUACUGGGCGUAAAGCGCGCGUAGGCGGUCUGAUAAGCCGGUUGUGAAAGCCCCGGGCUCAACCUGGGAACGGCAUCCGGACCGGCCGGCCAGAGUGCCGGAGAGGAAGGUAGAAUUCCCGGUGUAGCGGUGAAAAGCGUAGAGGUCGGGAGGAAAAACAGUGGCGAAGGCCGGCUUCUGGACCGACAACGACGCCGGGGGGCGAAAACGUUGGUAGCAAACAGGAUUAGAUACCCUGGUAGUC
RNAcentral lists this ribosomal RNA (464 nucleotides) under Vreelandella stevensii. RNAcentral describes it as "partial 16S ribosomal RNA". It matches the Rfam family "Bacterial small subunit ribosomal RNA", at positions 338 to 795 of the family's 1533-position model. The record is from RNAcentral. Lineage: Bacteria; Pseudomonadati; Pseudomonadota; Gammaproteobacteria; Oceanospirillales; Halomonadaceae.